GAGGAUAUAGAUCAGUGGUACAGCACUUGCCUAGCAUGCAUGAGGCACUGGGUUCUAUCCCCAGUACCUGAG
Molecule: transfer RNA, 72 nt
Filed under: Marmota monax (woodchuck)
Lineage: Eukaryota; Metazoa; Chordata; Mammalia; Rodentia; Sciuridae
Description: tRNA.Ala
Source: RNAcentral